CCCAUCAACUCAUCAGCACCCAUCAACUCAUCAUUUAUAUCAGCCAUGGACUCCUGGAGAGACGCCUUGGAGGGAACCUGCGAAAAGAUACCAGCAAGAAACAACUCGGAGUUUCAGAUUACUUCCAACCAGGACAGCCUACAAGAUAGCAGUACAAUCGGGAGAAUUGGGCAAUGUAAUUAUAGUAUGGAAAUGAUGUUGAUCACUCAAGCAGAGUGUAGACCUUGAAUCUAAAACCUUGCUCUGUCUUCCCACCCAUUUUCCAUGGCUCGCACUUGAAGCUGUAGCCACCACACCCAGGAAAGCUGGAGCUAGGUUUCAACACCAAGGAUGACCCUGGAAGGUCACUUGUUGAAACUGGCAGAGCCAUCAGGAGCCUGGGUUCUUGAAUGAACCAGUGGAGCAGAGCCCUCCUUCCCUCCCCCAUCCUCUGGUGCCCUGAACCUGCAUUGCAUCGUCAGGUAAGUAAAACCUGCACUGAUUGAGUUGAGGAGAAACAUGAGGGUUGUCAAUUGCAACAGUUAGAUAAACUUUAUAACAGGUGCUGGGGGAAUGAAC
Non-coding RNA from Macaca mulatta (Rhesus monkey), 558 nucleotides. NCBI's taxonomy places the organism in Eukaryota, Metazoa, Chordata, Mammalia, Primates, Cercopithecidae. The record is from RefSeq and is a predicted model, not a curated record.